This 85-nucleotide transfer RNA is filed under the name Gammaproteobacteria bacterium. Its description in RNAcentral is "tRNA-Leu". It matches the Rfam family "tRNA". Rfam says of the family: Transfer RNA (tRNA) molecules are approximately 80 nucleotides in length. Their secondary structure includes four short double-helical elements and three loops (D, anti-codon, and T loops). Lineage: Bacteria; Pseudomonadati; Pseudomonadota; Gammaproteobacteria. The record is from RNAcentral.
GCCACGGUGGCGGAAUUGGUAGACGCGCCGGAUUCAAAAUCCGGUUCCUUCGGGAGUGUCGGUUCGAUUCCGACCCGUGGUACCA